UGUACUGUUGCCUGGCAACCUCUCCCCCGCGUCCUGGCCCUGUGCUUUCAGAGUUUGUCUCAGCCUGCAGCUGGUCCUCAAUCAUCCUUAGGGGCCCGAGUCAGUGGCCUCUGUCAACGCUAAGGUCAGGACAGGACAUAGUUCCAGGACAGAUUCCCUAGGACCACCCAGCUAGACUGACCUUUAGUACUCAGGAUCUGACGGAAGUGGAAGCUGAGGACAGGCUGUGACUGGCUUUUGCUGGGAAGAGGCGGGGCCUGGGUGGGCGGAGCCUCUUGUGACCCACAGAACGCCUGCCCGGUUUGAAACUGGGAUGUCCCACCUACAGCCAGAAGCAGGAAGAAGCUUCUUGAUGGUGACUGGGCCAGACACUGAGCUGAGUACAGGUCUGAUGUAGCUACUGAGGAAUCCCAGAUGGGAUGUGACGAGCUGCUUCAAGCUCCUGCUGCCGCCUUUGAUGGAAUGACUGUACCUUGGACUGUGAGCUAGAUAAAUCUUCCCACCUUAAGUCUCUUUUUGUCAAGGUAUCUUAUGACAGCACCGGGGGAUAAAACCCAAGACAGAAGCUGAAGACUGGUGUUCCUUAGAGAAGUUACAUAAUUUGUUUUCCUGCUUGAAGUCACCACCCAGUUUACAUCUCCCCACAUAGUCAGAACACUAACCUUUUACAGAAUGUCUCAUGCUUCAUCCUGUUCGCCGAUAAUGCUCUCACAUUUGUCUACCACAGGAACAGCCACAGGGAUUGUGGAAAUGUUCCCUGUGACCAGCUCCCACGGCAGAAUGGAAGAGAAGAGGCUGUUUGUUGUUGUAAAAAUAUAAAAUAAAACAAGUAUUGUUGGUCUUUUAUCCCGCUAGGCCUGCACCGCGGUGCCCCAAGAUAUCUGCUAGAUAUCUUGGCAGAAACACAUCCCAACUCCUCAGCGGCCCAGUGUCUCCUGCCGCCACACACUUUCCUUCACUCAAACCCUCACAUAAAAGAACACAUAACACAAUAAUCUUAGAUCCAAUUGAUAAGAUAUAAUUGCCCACUUAAACAUACAAACCCUGGUACCAUUCAUCCCUUAGGAACAUUGAUAACAACCUGUAAAUACACAGAGCAGAAUCUUAACACCACCUGCCAUGGCUUCACCCCCCUCCCGCCUUGUCUCUUCCUUUCUCCUCAGUCUCCUCCUCUUCCUUCAAACUUCUCUCCUGCCCAUCCUUCCUUCAUCUCCAAUGACAGGCCUCCUUCUAUCCUGUACCUGCCCUUCACCGGAACUUUACAAAUUCAAUGGGGAGGUUCUGGUGAAGUCGCCUUAUUCCUGAGUACGGAGUCUAGGGCACUGUCCUUGGGGCAGUGGAAUUAGCAUCAAAAUACAGAUAACUCCAGGGCAAACCACAACAACUGUUCAGCUAGGUUCUGCAGGAAGAGCUGUUGUCAACCAGUGUGGAUUCUGGGCAAGUGUGGAGGCUCCGAGUGGAAGAGAAUUAGAGGCGGGAAAUGGUGUGAUGUCUGAAAAAGAAAAACUUUAAUGUAAGAGUGAUGAGUCCUGAGCUCUAGGGUGUGGGUGAUGUAGUAGAGUCAAAGCCAGAACCCCCAAAAAAGAGUGUGAGGCUAGUCACUGGCAAGGCAAGCGCCCAGGUAAGAGGUGAUAAGAGUUCUAGAGCAAUGGGUAGGAGAAGGGGCAGACUUACUUGCUCCUGGAACUGGCUUGAACGGUGAUGCUCUGUAGCCACAGACUGUCGGGCUGGUGCUUCUUCAGAAGCCCUUUCUGUCUGAUGGCUUCCAUUCCUGUUGCUAUGGAACCCCACUCUCCAGUCCCAUUCAUUACAGGACUAGUCCCCAUUCCUUAGGACUAGAGGUCUGGCUGUGCUUCGUCUUUUUGUUUCUAGCACUUGGAAUUGAGUGAGCAAAUGUGCUUACGGGAACUGUCAAGUGUGCUAUGCUGGAUGGAGAGAGGAUGAGAGAGCUGACAGUUUGCAUCAGGCUUCUAAGAGCCAUCUGUCCUGAAGAGCAAGUGUUACAGUUACAAGCCACUUCCGGGGGGGGGGGGGUUAUGAAUCUUACACUUGAUAGAUUAGGGUUCUUCAUUUUGCUCUGCUUCUUUGUUUAACUGGUGAUGUUUGUUGUUUUAGAGGAUGCUAUCUCAUUCUGUGGCCCCGGCUAACCCAAAGUUCACUUCGUGGCCCAGGUUGUCCUCUAGCUUGAGGUGACCCUAUUGCUUUGGGAGCUCAGGUUGCAGGUGUGUGCCCCCAAACUCACCUCGGAUUGGUCAGAAGACCUAAGUGACCCUGGAAAGCCAGUCACCUGGCAGCAAAGAGUCUGAUUUUUCUUUCUUCCAGGCACAUGGAAGAUUUCACUUUUUUGUGGCCUGGUAACUUGAUAUGGCCAAUGUGGUAUUCAGAGAAGCAACGUGAACAAGAACCUUCCAGAACCCAGUAUGACUCACUGAAUACGCCCCCCACCCCACCCAGCAGCUAGCCAAUGGAGGCCCACAUGAACAGUCACAGAAACCCAGUUCACCUUUGAUUUAUAAAGGAGUAAACAAUAAACCUGGCUGAUAAGGGGUCAACAUUUUUGGUGGGUGUGUUGCCUCGGUAUAACAUGCGCAGCCACUCAGACCACCUGCUCUUUAUUUGAUGCCAUGCCAAAAAUCUAAGGACCCUGUGGGUGGAUCCGUGUGGAUCAAGGUCGCUGUUAGAUUUUUAAGGGUCAAUGCCUGCCUGCGUUCGCAGUGGUUCACAUGCGCAGAGACUUUUGAAAGCAUUAGUGAGCUGUAUUUCAAGGAUGAUUUUACUUUUAUUGAGCCUAAAUCCCCUGCGUGGGACUCCGGUUUUGUGGUUUACGUCUUCAAUAAAAAUGGGGGAGCAUCUGGCCAUCUUCCACUGUGUCAUAAAUCUGAGGCUCAGAUUAAUAGAAGUCAUCGCUACACUUUUACUCAGGCUGCUCCCUACUGUGCAAACAAUCCUAACUCCUCGCUUCUUCCCAUCAAUUAUAUCAUACAAGCUUAGAAGAGAUUGGGGGGAAAAAUCCCCAGCCUCAUGCAGAAUGAAACAAACUACCUUUGCCUGUGGAGAUCAACUGCUACAGACAAAUCCACCAGAAUCCAGGAGCCAAACCACAGUCAGCCAGUCAAGCCCUCAGCUGCGUGAGCCAGGGAGUUUGACAACUUUGGUUUCGAGAUUCAGAGAAGAAGAAGUCAGAAGGAUUUGUCCAGGUCUCUUGUCUCCUCAAGAAGAAUUACAGAAUCAUGCUUCAUUUCUCUCUCCUAACCAUUUGUCCUUACAGGGAAAGAAACCCUUAAGCUAAAAAUUCUUGUCACUUGGAUUCUCCUGUGCUCUCUCUAGUCCAACUCGCCGCUGUACAGGAAAAAGUAUUUUCAGGAUCUCAGGUUCAUGUGUCUGCAGGAGACAAGAGUAUCCCUUGAUAUUUCUGUGCUGAAAUGAUGGCAUGGAAAAUAUUAGCAGCAGCCACAAUCGCAGUCCCAAGAAACACUUGCUGAGCUGUGUGUGACAGGCAUACAUAUGACUUAAUGUAAAUGUUCUGUUUGUUCCCAUUUCUUUAGUCAAGAACAUGCAGUCAAAAGGGGCUGAGACUUGUCAGGGUCUGGGGAAGACCUGAGCCCUUAAAGCUACCCCACUUCACUGCCCUGACUCCCAGGUGACUCCUUGUGGCAGACAAUGCCCGUUUCGAACUUUUGCUGUCAGCAGUCAUCCUGGGAAAUUCCACGGAAGCUUAAGCUCCAUUUCCACCCCCACCCCAGGAAUGUAAAGCAGGCUGCUCCGUGCAGUCACAGACUGGUCUAACAUCCCCUCCAUAGGGAAGUGUCCCUAACUUCAUUAAGAAUGCUAGGUGAUUCCAUCAAUGUCUUUCUUUAGAGACGUUGCUGUGGGUCAAGAGACUUCUAUGCUAGGAAAGGGCAGCAGGAACUCCUGUGCCGAAUGGGAGACCCUGCCUGGUGUGGAGCAGCACUGCCCUCUUGUGGGCUGAAUGGGUGUGACUAGCCAGUGCCCUGGCAGAAAUGGGCUAUAGGGCAUGAGGUCAGUGCUCAGGUAUUCUUGUUUUUCUUGCAUUUACUUAGUGCUAACCGAGCACCUCCUGUGUUUGCAUACCUAGUAUGCUAAUUCUGGCUUAAUUGCUAUGAAGAGACGCCAUGACCGAGGCUACUCUUAUAAAGGCAAACAUUUAAUUGGGACUGGCUUACAGUUUCAGAGGUCCAGUCCAUGAUCAACCAUGGCAAGAACAUGUCAGUGUCCAGGCAGCUAGGAGGAGGGUCUCUAAGCCCACCACUACAGUGACACACUUUCUUCAACAGGGUCACACCUCCUCUAAUAGUGCCACUCCCUGGGCCUGGCAUACUUAAACCACCACACCUAGCAAGGCUCUUUCUGCUACCGCGGCUUUGCUGAGAUUGCUUCUCUGGAUAGUGAACUAAAGCCAACAGUUCAGGAUGUUGAGAGAUUUAACCGUCAUUAAUUGCUUAUUUGAGGUACAAGGUCAUUCAUCUAAAGGUGACUGUUCACACUCAGAAAACCGAAGACACUUCGACUUCGUCCACUGGAAUUUUCUCUGCCAUUGAGAUGUGUGGGACAAAGGCACUCACAGAAUUGCAAGACGCCAUAGUCACACACAGUCCUGAUGCGGGUCCUGUUUCAGUUGCCAUGGGGUGGUUAGAGAUAGAUGUUCCAGUGAGCACUGUCUCUUCACUUUGUGGAAGAAGCUCAAUACUACGUUAGGAGCACGUGGCAGAAACUUUAAUCUCUGUGUUGUUAGCUCCAGAUGCCUGUCCUCUCCUGUCUUUUGUCGGUGAAUGUCUGCAAUGCCGGCAUCUUGCUUACAUAUGGCCUGAAGUUACUUAGCCCAGCAUCAUGUCACCGCAGCCACUGCCACAUUCUAAGGACCCCUUUCUAGGGGCUCAAACAGGACAGAAGAAACGCUCAGGAGAUGCUUUCCCAUCCUCCCAACAGCCAACAACAGAGGCCCUCAGGGAUACUUAUGGACGCACUUGCCUCGGAUAAUUGUGUAUUUUCUAACCACAUUGUCUUUAUCUUUAUUAUUCAUUAUCCUAUUUUUAAACCACUUUGCUGGGCCGUGCCACACACUCCUGCUCCAUAACGCAUUGAAGCAGGCGUUCCCCUGCACAUGGUAUUCACACUUAUUCAAGUCGCCUGGCCACACCAUCUUAGAUCGUUACUUCCCUUUACAUUUUGUAGGAGGAUACUCUCCUCGGUUGUUAAAGUUCCCGAAUUGCUCCUCCGUGAUUCAUAAACACCAGAGCAGUUGGCAUUCUAACUGGCAACUCGUGAGAACGCCAGGGUCCUCACUGCCGCGGAGGUUCAGACAAUGAACGGUCUGAAAAUGCACACAGGAUAAAUGAACCAUUCUGCAUGGGUUUAGACGGAAACCUCUGUUUCUCCCCACACGGGCGCUUUCCGGAUCUCUCUAGAAGUAAGAGAGAACAGCAUGUUCUCACAGGCACUUCCUCCCUCUCUGAACAGUCUACACUAUCUGUGCCAUUGGGGCCUUUAAACCGGGGCUUCUUAACCUACGGUCUGAGAGUGUGUAGAUACAGUUGAGGGUCUGUGAGCUUGGUUAUAAUUAUAGAUGAUAAAAUCAUCCAAAUUUCCAUCCUUUUAACAACAUAACUACUGCUUAAGGUCUUCUCAAGCAUCACUGAAAUGGAGCACUGUAUUUUAGAGUUAAUGCCAGUCAUGGCCCACUGCACGGCCAUGACGUCGCGUAAGCACAGCAGCAGCUUGGCUCCCAGUGGUCAUUAGGCAUGCUGCUAAAACUUGCAUUUUAAUGUGCUAAUUAGGAAAUUUAUGUGUUACCGUCUUGCAAACUCCAUUUAAAAUAUUUAGUAAUUGUAAAGCAGUAUGGAUACUUCCCCAUUAGUUCCAGGUAUUUUAGUUUUUAAAUGAAUAUAUUAAAAAUACCUUUCCAAGAAAAGGCGUAGAUGUAUAUCACUUGAUGUCCAGAGGGUCAAGGCAGGAACUGUUUAGGACGCCUUUCUUCUUAUUACAGGUGAAAUCUAAAUAAUAAAUGUCUAUAGGGUUGAGCCUGAUACCCUUCCUCUUGGAGUUUAUUGGCCUAUACAAUCCCAAUGUUCUAUUGUGGAAAGUAAAGAAAGGUGAGCAGUAACUUGAUAGGAGACUUGGCCCAUACUAGGUUUGUAAGGGGCCAAGGUCAGGAACACCAGCACCAGCAGUCAACUGCAUUGAUAUCACACAGCUGUAAGAAAGUCCCACCACUUCUAGAACAUUCCUCUCUAGAAUCUGUAACUCUGGUCCAACUAUGAGAGAACAAAACAGAAGUCCAAAAGGAAAGUCAUGCUAUGGAUCUCUAACCAAUGUCUUCACCGAUGGCAAAUUCAUCAAAAGCAAGAAUAAAAAAAACCUGAGAAACCACCACACACGGAGGGCUGAUUCAAUUUGACAUCAUGCACUGACAUCCACCCUGACACACUGGUGGACAAGAUGGUGACUGUCCCCCAAAACCUAGAGUUUAUGGUAUCAGUAUUGCAGCCACAUAGUUUUCUAUUUUCCAAAACAUUCCCUGGUUUAUGUGAGCAUUAGAAAGAUCUGGGUGACCUGCUAGAAAACUGCUCUAUUAUUGAAACGUCUGUAAGUCUAUUCCAAAAUUAAAGUUGGGAUGGCGGGAAGAACCCUCAGGCUUCUGGUCCGAAACUAGUAUCUCUCACAAUUUUGACUUGUUCAUUCAUCCUUUAUUCAUUUAACAUUAAUCAUCCCUGGGGCACAUCGAACACUGGGCUGCAGGGAGAAACCCCUGCUGAGAAGAUCUGAGAAUGAUGGGCCCAAGGAGACUAUGAUCUUCCUUGCCAACCUGGAAGAGGUGGAGUUAGAAUGUUAGGGAGUGAAUUCUUCAAAGAGAUUUGCACCCACUCGACACAGCAGGAGAGAAAGAAGAGAUGUAGGAAAUUGCAAGUGAACAGGGCAGGACACUGUGGGCGGAGAGAAAGAAAGGGGAUUCUGGGUAGUGUAGUCUUCAGUGAACCAAACCAUUGGCCUGUCUUCAGAUUACCCAGUAUAAGGAAGCCCCAGAGUUGGAAACUGUCAUGUCCCUGCUUCAAAUCCUUAGCAGAGCUGCUCUGUUCCAAAUCACUUCCUGUGACAUCCUAGAAGAAAGUGGGGUCAAUAGAGUAUAGUCAACGUCAAUUUUGGAAUUCUCUGCUAUAUUUAUAGCUACCUCUUAGAACAAACAUUGUAAAUUAAUGUAAAUUGAGUAGUUUAUAACAAACCUUUUUGUUGUUGUUUUAUGAUUCUGGAGGCUGGAAGCAUAUUAUCAAGGCCAAAGAAGAUGGAGACUUGUGAGAAAGUCACUUCCUGGUCUAUAGGGACCUCAGUGUCACAACCCCUGCUCACUCCAGCCUCCCUGAGUAUCCUGACCUUCACCAACGACCAUUUGGAAUUGAGUUAACUUCCAGGACUUUGGCAGGUGACCUCGAACAAUGACCGCUGUAAUGUUGGCACUUGCUUUCUUGGAUUCUGGUUUCCAGGCUGCAGUGGUAGCUCAGGCUGGAUGCUAUCAAAAGAUUCUAGAAUCAGAAUAAAGUCUUCAGCCUAUAAUGGGCUAACCUCUUCCCAGGUCUGAGCAUUGGUCACUGUCCUCUGCUUAGAGACACUGUGUUCUCUCUUACAGUCAUGCUGACUGCUGGCUUGUGCUGAAAGUUCAGUCUUGGGCUGGUGACAUUACUGAAAGGUGAUUGAUCAUGCCAAUGUCAUUAAUGGUUUAAUUAAUUUAAUGAAUAAAUUAAUUUUUACAGUACAGCAGUAUGAAUUAGAAAUCAUGUAAUGAGUGAACAGUUUGCUACUACAGAUUUGGGGGUUUUUUUGGCUUGGAGAAGAUUUGACUGUUUCUAUCACAUUCCUCACUCCUACAGAAUGAUUAUCUUAACUUUUUCAAGCAUAAAAAAAGAAUAUUUGAAAAUGCAAAAGACUAUGUAAUGUCAGUGCUUCUGAUGAAUCUGUGUAUCUUCUGUGCAACUCCAUGAUAAUUGUCUAGGUAGAAUAUAUUUGCUAAGAACACCUUGAACACUUCGUGUGAGACUGAUAACUUGAUAUUAUUGUAGGAACAGGAGCACAAAGGCUAUCUGGUCUACUUUCUUCUUAAUUAAACACCACUUGUGUACUUAAGACCAUAGACCAGAAAACGAGGCUGUUCAGCCACUUCGUACCUUCUCAAAAUAAUUAAGCAAUAGGCCAGGUGUUUCCAAUGACAUUCUGCUGGGAUCUGGUCAGUCAUUCAUAAACCUGCUUUGAGGCAGAUGCUGCGUAUGGAGGUCGUGGGUCAACUCCGAGAAUAAGAUAGAUUCAGAAAGUGCCAUGGAAGAGUCUGGAGUUCAGUAGGAAAGAGAAACAUCAAGUCAUGCAUGAAACAUAAAGGGUCUUGGGAUGGCCUCAGAAGGUAUCUUAAAGGUGCUUUAGAUCAUCCAUUUAACACCAGACACUGUGCCGGAAACAAACUUCGGUGCCUUCUUGGACUAGGUGGGGUCUUGGGACUGCUUGAAAUUUUUUUUAGAGUUUCUAUCACUGUGAUGAAACACCAUGACCAAAAAAGCAAAAUGGGGAGGAAAGGGUUUAUUUGGCUUAUACUUCCAGACCAUAGUCCAACACAGGAGGAAGUCAGGACAGGAACUCAGGCAGAGCUGGAACCUGGAGGCAGGAGCUGAUGCAGAAGGCAUGGAAGGCUUACUGGCUUGCUACCCAUGGCUCGCUCAACCUGCUUUCUUAUAGAAUCCAGGACCACUAGCCCAGGGAUGGCACCACCCACAAUGGGCUGGGCCCUUCCCCAUUAAUUGCUAAUUGAGAAAAUGUGAUCUCAUGGAGGCAUUUUUCUCAGCUGAGGGUCCUUCCUCUCUGAUGACUCUAACUCCUGUCAAGUUGACAUACAAAACUAACCAGUACAAAGAUGCUGGUGGUAGGAAGCAGGUCGCUGGGGUGACAGCAGCUACAUACAACUGCAAAGAAGCAUCUUGACAUUUUAGCAACCGGAGAAGAUCAGACUGGAAGGUGCCAGCUACGUGGUCAGGGCAGAGUCUGGAUCAGGUGACAGCGUGGGCUUUCAUGAUAGAACUUAAGCUGAAAGCUUAAGUCCAGGACCUGUUUAUGCACUGAGGGAUUGAUGUGAUGUCUGUGAUACAACAAGAAGCAAGUAGACAUAUAAGACCCUAGAUUAGGGAUGAAAGCCAGGCUCAGUCAAAGAAAUACAAUCAUUGCUGACACGGGGAAUGAAGGAGAAGAGAGUGUGACAGAAACAAGCUUGGAGAACACACUGAUUUCAUUUCUGUGUCUGUGAUAAAACUCCACCCUGACCAAAACAACUUAGGGGAGACAAGGUUUAUUUUGGCUCCAAUUACAGACCAUCGUUGCUGAAAGUCAAGGCCAGAACUUGAAGCAACCGGUCCCCAGUCAGGAGUAGAAAGGAAAUGACGCAUACACACAUGCUCAGCCUAAUUUCUUCAGCAGCCCAUGAAAGCCCAGAUUCAGGCCGGGCUUUACCACCUCACUCAACAUAAUUAAGAAAAAUACCGAAUUCUCAUUGGCUGAUGUAAUCUUGAUGAAUCUUCAUUGAGAGUCUCUUCUCAGGUGAGUCAGCCUAGGUCCUGACAGCAAUAUUAGAGAGGGUUGACCCUGGGUGGGAUGCAGGCCUGUUAAUCCAAGACUCAAAAGACUGAAGCAGGGGGAUGAACUUAAGUCCAGCGUGGGCUACAGAUUUAGAUCUUGUAUAAAUGAAUGAAUGAAUGAAUGAGAAGGUUGAAGGGUGGAAUCAGUUUGAUGGAGAUUGAAUUUCUACAACUGUGUGGAAUAGCUGGUUGGAGAAGAAAUUCAAUGAAAUUUUAAUAAACCUCAGUUCAUAUUCAGUUGCAAGUCUUCUCCACCUUAGAAGAUUGAGGGAAGGAGCCGGCAGAGAAGGGUUCCUGGGCCAAUGGUGUCCUUUGCCAAUGGGGACUGUAUUCAUAGUCUAAACCUCAAAUCUCCUCCAUGGUGUCCACAGGUAUCUUAGACUCAAAGUUUCCAAGUCUGGCACCCUGAGCCAGUCUCUCCUUUAUUUUACAGUGUAAAUGGAAACUCCAUUCAUCCUUCAAGGAAAAAGCAAACAUCUAAUCAAUGUCUGUGGACUGCGCCAUCCAGCUCCUGGUGACCUCUGGGCUUCUUGAGUUUUUAUUCCCCACCCCAGGUCAUCAGUUGUUGUUUGAUCUCACCAACAUGGCCACCUUGCUUCUCUUCAAAGAUGGUACUAGAUCCGCUCUUCCUUCAGAUCAGUGUUCCAUGCCUGCUACCCUGACUAAAGGGCACACAGCCUCUCAACUUCAGGUUUGUUGUAAUCUGUAGAACUGAUCCAUUACUUGGCAAAAUAAUAAGUUAAGUAAUGCCACCGUAACAAGUCCCCAAAUUAAGUAGAUUACAAUAUAGAGGUUAUGCAGCUUUUGCUGGUUCCCGAGAGCCAAUUGUUUGAUUUUCAGGAAUUUAUGAACUAGUUGUUAUA
Molecule: non-coding RNA, 10486 nt
Organism: Rattus norvegicus (Norway rat)
Lineage: Eukaryota; Metazoa; Chordata; Mammalia; Rodentia; Muridae
Source: RefSeq, a predicted model, not a curated record